UGAGGCCAUAUUGCGUUACAAUACCAGCUCCUGUACAAUCACUAAAGUUAAGCAAUGUCGAGCCUGGUCAGUAGCUAGAUGGGUGACCGCUUGCGAAUACUAGAGGCUGUAC
Non-coding RNA from Acanthosepion pharaonis, 112 nucleotides. NCBI's taxonomy places the organism in Eukaryota, Metazoa, Mollusca, Cephalopoda, Sepiida, Sepiidae. The record is from the annotation of a GenBank genome assembly.